Molecule: ribosomal RNA, 253 nt
Filed under: uncultured bacterium
Lineage: Bacteria
Description: partial 16S ribosomal RNA
Rfam family: Bacterial small subunit ribosomal RNA
Source: RNAcentral
UACGAAGGGGGCUAGCGUUGUUCGGAAUCACUGGGCGUAAAGCGCACGUAGGCGGAUUGUUAAGUCGGGGGUGAAAUCCUGAGGCUCAACCUCAGAACUGCCUCCGAUACUGGCAAUCUCGAGUUCGGAAGAGGUUGGUGGAACAGCUAGUGUAGAGGUGAAAUUCGUAGAUAUUAGCUAGAACACCGGUGGCGAAGGCGGCAUCCUGGACCGGCAUUGACGCUGAGGCGCGAAAGCCAGGGGAGCAAACGGG